Molecule: unclassified non-coding RNA, 232 nt
Filed under: Hevea brasiliensis (rubber tree)
Lineage: Eukaryota; Viridiplantae; Streptophyta; Magnoliopsida; Malpighiales; Euphorbiaceae
Source: RNAcentral
GAUUUUUUAUGUUUAUCGUUUAAGAUGCCAAGUACCAGUGUAAGUAUAGUGAAACAGAUCUUGACUUCAUCUUUAGGUCAAGGACCCAGUAAAACACAGCAAAGUUAUUGCUCAUGCACUGCAGCAAUGUUGCAUUAGUUUUCGAUGGAACUUUUUAAUUCUGUCCAUGAAAGAAGCACAAAUGUGGUGCAACAACCAAUAAUGUAGAAUCUGAAAAUUUGUAGCAUUCUCG